AAAUAAAAACAAACAAGUCACUGGAUAUUUGUCUAUAAUACUCCCAAAAUAUAGAAUACACAUUUAUCUAUUGAAAACAACCUCUUUACGAUAUGGAUACACUCUACUCUCCCGAGAUCCCAAUUUAUGGGAUUACACAGGGUAUGUUGUUAUUUUUCUUCUGUUAAGAUCUUAUCAAUUGUCAAUAUAGCAGAACUUUACAGUACAUCAAAGGGUAAAGGAGCAUAGUGCAGAUUUGACAAUUGACGAUUAAUCAUCCGAAAGUUGGUGUAGUCCUAUCAAAAAUGAAAUGACCCUGAAACAAGUAACAGGAAGGACAGAAACAAUAAUUCGGGGCAAACAUCCGUGAGGAGAAAGAAUGAGACUGCCACAUUGCGUGGCGUUAGUUCCUUGUAUUCAACUUCUGCAGUCAUCUGAUGUCCUUGAAAUAGAACAUCAAGAGAAAACUAAAGGUUCCCCGUUGAGUCUGAGUGAUCUCAGGUAGGAGGUUGCCAUGUUCCUGGUCUAAAGGAUUCACCGGUACCAGUUGGCUCUGACGACCUUUUUUCAUGCUGUGUAUCAGAGGCUUCUGCCUUUGUAUCACCUUUUGAAGCAUCCGGAAAUUGUUGAACGAAACUUUUUAAAUCUGGACCAUCAGCUUUACCAAUGUUUGUGGCUUUCCUCUUGCCUUCUUUGGCCAUUCUUUCCUCCUCUUCCUUCUUGAGACGAGCAAUAUUAAGCUUAACAAAUUCCCUUCUGGCCUCCAACUCAG
RNAcentral lists this unclassified non-coding RNA (751 nucleotides) under Hevea brasiliensis (rubber tree). The record is from RNAcentral. Lineage: Eukaryota; Viridiplantae; Streptophyta; Magnoliopsida; Malpighiales; Euphorbiaceae.